RNAcentral lists this unclassified non-coding RNA (212 nucleotides) under plant metagenome. RNAcentral describes it as "partial contains small subunit ribosomal RNA, internal transcribed spacer 1, and 5.8S ribosomal RNA". The record is from RNAcentral.
UUUCCGUAGGUGAACCUGCGGAAGGAUCAUUCAUAAUAAGUGUUUUAUGGCGCUUUUUAAAUCCAUAUCCACCUUGUGUGCAAUGUCAGGGUUGAUUUUUCUCUCGAGAGGAUCAGCCCCAAACAUCAACUAUAUCUCAACUCUUUGUCUGAAAAAUAUUAUGAAUAAAACAAUUCAAAAUACAACUUUCAACAACGGAUCUCUUGGCUCUC